UGAGAGUGGCAUCUAAAUGUUUAGUGGUAU
RNAcentral lists this non-coding RNA (30 nucleotides) under Mus musculus (house mouse). The record is from RNAcentral. Lineage: Eukaryota; Metazoa; Chordata; Mammalia; Rodentia; Muridae.